Molecule: ribosomal RNA, 760 nt
Filed under: Brevibacterium sp. M61
Lineage: Bacteria; Bacillati; Actinomycetota; Actinomycetes; Micrococcales; Brevibacteriaceae
Description: bacterial SSU rRNA
Rfam family: Bacterial small subunit ribosomal RNA
Source: RNAcentral
CGACGCAGCGUGCGGGAUGACGGCCUUCGGGUUGUAAACCGCUUUCAGCAGGGAAGAAGCGAAAGUGACGGUACCUGCAGAAGAAGUACCGGCUAACUACGUGCCAGCAGCCGCGGUAAUACGUAGGGUACGAGCGUUGUCCGGAAUUAUUGGGCGUAAAGAGCUCGUAGGUGGUUGGUCACGUCUGCUGUGGAAACGCAACGCUUAACGUUGCGCGUGCAGUGGGUACGGGCUGACUAGAGUGCAGUAGGGGAGUCUGGAAUUCCUGGUGUAGCGGUGAAAUGCGCAGAUAUCAGGAGGAACACCGGUGGCGAAGGCGGGACUCUGGGCUGUAACUGACACUGAGGAGCGAAAGCAUGGGGAGCGAACAGGAUUAGAUACCCUGGUAGUCCAUGCCGUAAACGUUGGGCACUAGGUGUGGGGGACAUUCCACGUUCUCCGCGCCGUAGCUAACGCAUUAAGUGCCCCGCCUGGGGAGUACGGUCGCAAGGCUAAAACUCAAAGGAAUUGACGGGGGCCCGCACAAGCGGCGGAGCAUGCGGAUUAAUUCGAUGCAACGCGAAGAACCUUACCAAGGCUUGACAUACACCAGACCGGCUUGGAAACAGGUCUUCCCCUUUGGGGUUGGUGUACAGGUGGUGCAUGGUUUGUCGUCAGCUCGUGUCGUGAGAUGUUGGGUUAAGUCCCGCAACGAGCGCAACCCUCGUUCUAUGUUGCCAGCACGUGAUGGUGGGAACUCAUAGGAGACUGCCGGGGUCAA